This is a non-coding RNA of Podospora bellae-mahoneyi, 125 nucleotides long. NCBI's taxonomy places the organism in Eukaryota, Fungi, Ascomycota, Sordariomycetes, Sordariales, Podosporaceae. The record is from the annotation of a RefSeq genome assembly.
GGGCGUGUGGCUCAGUUGGUAGAGCGUUCGCUUAGCAUAUUUGAGAAAAAUGAAGGCUCUCUGAUGUGAGAGGUGGAGUUCAAACGGUAUGCGAAAGGUCCUGGGUUCGAUUCCCAGCUCGUCCA